CUCUGUGACUCCUACGGGAGGCAGCAGUGGGGAAUAUUGCACAAUGGGCGCAAGCCUGAUGCAGCCAUGCAGCGUGUAUGAAGAAGGCCUUCGGGUUGUAAAGUACUUUCAGCAGUGAGGAAGGCGGAGUCGUUAAUAGCGGCCUCGUUUGACGUUAGCUGCAGAAGAAGCACCGGCUAACUCCGUGCCAGCAGCCGCGGUAAUACGGAGGGUGCGAGCGUUAAUCGGAAUUACUGGGCGUAAAGCGCAUGCAGGUGGUUCGUUAAGUCAGAUGUGAAAGCCCGGGGCUCAACCUCGGAAUUGCAUUUGAAACUGGCAGACUAGAGUACUGUAGAGGGGGUAGAAUUUCAGGUGUAGCGGUGAAAUGCGUAGAGAUCUGAAGGAAUACCGGUGGCGAAGGCGGCCCCCUGGACAGAUACUGACACUCAGAUGCGAAAGCGUGGGGAGCAAACAGGAUUAGAUACCCUGGUAG
Molecule: ribosomal RNA, 472 nt
Filed under: uncultured bacterium
Lineage: Bacteria
Description: bacterial SSU rRNA
Rfam family: Bacterial small subunit ribosomal RNA
Source: RNAcentral